Chroicocephalus ridibundus (black-headed gull) is the source of this 3076-nucleotide long non-coding RNA. RefSeq lists it as uncharacterized. The record is from RefSeq and is a predicted model, not a curated record. The transcript has 4 exons. NCBI's taxonomy places the organism in Eukaryota, Metazoa, Chordata, Aves, Charadriiformes, Laridae.
CGGCGGUUGCGGCUGGGCGCGCGCCCGGGGUAGGGCGGGAAGCGUGUUUCCCUGCCCUCUUCCCGCCUCCCGGGAGGGGGGGGAAUCUCCUCCAAUAACGCUCCGCUGCCCGGUUACUCCCUUAUCAUUUUUUUUUUUUUAAUUAUUUUUAUUUUUUUAAAUGUAUACGUUGGCCGAGCUGGAAACGGCCUGCCGGAGCGCGGCGGGCUGGCGAGGAGAUGGGGUUGGCGAGGAGAGGGGGAGCAGCGGCGGCCCUCUGGGACCUCCGGCCUGAAGGGAGCGCUUGCUGCCGGCGGUCUGUGCAGGAAGGGAGCUUCCUCUUUUUCUAGGCGGGCCCUUUUCGGGCCUGUGGGUAAUUCCUGACGGAAGAGCCUCCGUCAGCCAUCUCCUUCCCGCCCAGCCGCGGCUGAGGGGAGCCGAAGGGACGGGCGGGAGCGGGGCCCCGCCGGCCUCCCGAAAACGGGCGGCUGAAGUGCUGCGGUAGCGUUGUAUGCAGAUAAUUACGUUAUUUUUACCUCAUAUGUGGACGAAUAUUUGAGCCUGCUUCCCCCCCUCCCCCGCUUUGGACGCUGAUCUACUUUGCAUAUUAAAUGUCUAAUGGCAAGUACAACGUCUAUAAACAGUUGGAAACGCUGGAAAAUGAGGAGAAAGUCCGUCUCCUGAAAUAAUCCAGAUUUCUUAACAACCGAAAAGCCUUCAUGUAAAAUUACAUAAUUUAUGCUGAUUUACAACUGCAGUUAACUCUUGGUCGCAUUUUGACCAAGUUUUCAGACCCCCGGAAGACGCGUUUUCAAGCAAACAGCAAUUUUACAUACAAGGAAAACUGCGUGGUGUGUUUUUUUUGGGUUUUUUUUUUUUGCCAUCUAUUAGCCUUGCACACUCACACGCUCACUGGUCCAGGCACACGGAAUUGGAAUAGGCAUCUGGUGAGGGAUCCCGGCUGCUUUUUCUCCCCUCAGCAGGGACUUCCCUGGUACCAGGCAGCGUUUUUUAUUUCUGUAGUACCACCCAGCGGCGAGGCGGCGCAUUACUCGGAAUGCCUCUGGUUUACUGACUUGUACAUAGGAUUAAGGAAACAAACCUAUUAAUAGCCGCAAUGCAGAUGCAAUAUAGCUUAGUAGAGGGUAAAAUAAGUCAAAAUUGCCAAAUUAGGAAAAAAAAAUGGAGGGCUGUUCUGAGUUCCUCAGUGACUGACUUAAAUGGAAACAAUAUACGUAACUCUGUCAUUGUGGAAAUGCAGUUCUGUUUUUUUUUUUUAUUUAUUUCCAUAAGCGUGUGUACACAGGCUGAUAACACCACUGGUAGUUGUAUACGUAGCCUCCCACUCAAGUGCACAGAACAUUCUCCUAACAGUCCUUGAGGCAUCAGUUUGUUAAGCUAAGCCAAAAGAAAUCCACUACUCUUUAAAAAUAAGAGACAAGUUAUUGUAAUCAAAAGAUCUAGCCUCAGACACAACUACUGUGGAAGUCAGGAAUAUACUAGAAUGAUCUUUCACCCAGACUUCUUGUCACUACUUGUUUUUUAAAUACUUUCCAAGUUGGGGUUAUUCUUAAACAUUCCCUGCUGAAAUUUCCAUUGACUGAAUUAAAUUAAUAGAGAAAAUUAACUUCUUUGAGACUCUACAUGAGACGCGGAUUCCUUUUUGUCUGUUACUAAUUCACAUCACGUGUUAAUGCAAGUGUCUUUCAAAGAGGAUUUCUGAGAAUAAUGAAGGACACCAAUCAAUACAAGAGACAGGAGGAGGACUGUGUAUAGCUUGAAGACUUGCAUAAGGGAAGACUAAAAGAGCAUUCCGGACUAUCACCGCGAUCACAUUUUGCUCGUGCCUGAACUAAGGUACCAGCCACCUUUCUUUUCUACGGCACUGCUUUCAAAACUUUGGGAUCCCUCAAAGGUGGACCAGGGGCUUUUACGUUGUGUGUUCCCAUUCCUGUAGCAGCGAUAGGCGAAUGGAUUGCACGUUUGACUACCAGGGAUUCCAGCAGAGUCUAAGAGGAGACGGGAGCUGUGACAGCUGGAAAGCAAGGGUCUGGUGGAGAUUUGCUGUCCUAACUUGAGAUUCAGUGCUACUAGUCUACGCUGCUAUUUCCAGAUGAGGCAGCCUGAGGAUUAUACCCACGUUCUCAGCUUCCUUCGGCGAUAUCCCUCACAGCAUGUGUCAAUCUUCAUUUUGAUUAUUUCAGCCGAUACAGUAGUCACACAUGACCGGUCAUCCCUUUGAUUUGAAAGCAAGACAACGGCUACUUCAGCAUCAGCACCUGAACCAUCUUACCAGUCAGAGAGAGCCCAAGACAGCUGCUGCUUUUUUUUUUUUUUUUUUUGCUAAUUUUGCUAAUUGCAAAGAUAUGAGGCAGUUACGAAGCUUGAUGCAAAAAUGCUCAAGCCAGAUGUAACACUAAAGAGAUGCCACAAGAAAAAACUGGUGAUUACUGCCUGGCUAUACGUGUUAAAAUAACCGGCAGUGGUAGUGAGCGGGCUGCAGUCAGCCCUUCGCAGCGCACACACACUUAAACCUUCUCAUGUUGUCACAGCCGAGAAAACAAUUUUAACUCCUCUCUCCAUCCUCCAACAUAAACUGGCCGACUUUUCCUGAUAGACUUGGCCGAUAUUACAGAAUCCACAAAAGACUAACGACAGACUUCUCAAGACUUAGAAAAAACCUUGAGAUUUAAAAGAGCUAAGACUUAAAAAGUGUUCAACCGUAGAAAAACCAGGCCCUUUCACACCUUGGGGACUUGGAAGAGACUAUCCAAUGUAUUGCUUAAAAAAAAAAAAGUGCUGUUUAACUUGCAAGGGGUAAAUAAAAGGGAAAAUGUGUCUAGAGUUCAUCUUUGACUUCUGUCAUUCAUCCGUACUCCUAACAUCCAGAACCUUGCUCCUCAACCCCAUCUUUCCUUAGCGCUCUCUUUUCUUGCACCCACUCACAGCACAAAGCAGCGCUCACAGGUAGCGGAAACACGUGUACAAAGACCUAUAGCGGCACGCGGGGCAGGUACAUGUGAAUGAGAUCUGGGAUUUCAUGUACUUGGAGUAAUUAAGGUGCAUUGUAUGUGCAAUCUUACCUGAAAAAUGAAUC